GACGAACGCUGGCGGCGUGCUUAACACAUGCAAGUCGAACGGAAAGGCCCUGCUUUUGUGGGUUGCUCGACUGGCGGACGGGUGAGUCACACGUGACUAACCUUCCCUUUACUUUGGGAUAACUUCAGGAAACGCGAGUUACUACCGGACAUGAUCUCCUGCUGCGUGGAGGGGGUUGGAAAGUUUCGGCGGUUGGGGAUGGACUGGCGGAUUACUAGCUUGUUGGUGGGGUAGUUGCUUACCAAGGCAUUGACCGGUAGCCGGCACGGGAGGGUGGCUGGCCCCAUUGGGACUAAGUUAGGCACAAGAGCCCAAGGGGGGGCAGCGGUGGGAAAAUUUGCACAUUGGACGGAAGCCGGAUGAGGAAACGCGGGGUGCGGAAGGACGGCCUUCGGGUUGUAAACCGCUUCAGCUUGUGACUAAGCUGUAGUGACGGUAACGGGUGAAGAAGCACCGGCUAACUACGUG
RNAcentral lists this ribosomal RNA (468 nucleotides) under uncultured bacterium. RNAcentral's name for it is "partial 16S ribosomal RNA". It matches the Rfam family "Bacterial small subunit ribosomal RNA", at positions 28 to 507 of the family's 1533-position model. The record is from RNAcentral.